This 256-nucleotide ribosomal RNA is filed under the name uncultured bacterium. RNAcentral's name for it is "partial 16S ribosomal RNA". It matches the Rfam family "Bacterial small subunit ribosomal RNA", at positions 526 to 779 of the family's 1533-position model. The record is from RNAcentral.
CGGAAGGUCCGGGCGUUAUCCGGAUUUAUUGGGGUUUAAAGGGGAGCGUAGGCCGCGCCUUAAGCGUGUUGUGAAAUCCGGGUGCUCAACAUCCGGCUUGCAGCGCGAACUGGGGCGCUUGAGUGCGCAGAAAGUAGGCGGAAUUCGUGGUGUAGCGGUGAAAUGCUUAGAUAUCACGAGGAACUCCGAUUGCGAAGGCAGCCUACUGUAGCGCUACUGACGCUGAUGCUCGAAAGCGUGGGUAUCGAACAGGAUU